RNAcentral lists this ribosomal RNA (253 nucleotides) under uncultured bacterium. RNAcentral's name for it is "partial 16S ribosomal RNA". It matches the Rfam family "Bacterial small subunit ribosomal RNA", at positions 524 to 776 of the family's 1533-position model. The record is from RNAcentral.
UACGUAGGGCGCAAGCGUUGUCCGGAAUUAUUGGGCGUAAAGGGCUCGUAGGCGGUUUGUCACGUCGGGAGUGAAAACUCGGGGCUUAACUCCGAGCCUGCUUCCGAUACGGGCUGACUAGAGGUAUGCAGGGGAGAACGGAAUUCCUGGUGUAGCGGUGAAAUGCGCAGAUAUCAGGAGGAACACCAACGGCGAAGGCAGCUCGCUGGGACGGAACUGACGCUAAGGCGCGAAAGCGUGGGGAGCGAACAGG